UACGUAGGGUCCGAGCGUUGUCCGGAAUUACUGGGCGUAAAGAGCUCGUAGGUGGUUUGUCGCGUUGUUCGUGAAAACUCACAGCUUAACUGUGGGCGUGCGGGCGAUACGGGCAGACUUGAGUACUGCAGGGGAGACUGGAAUUCCUGGUGUAGCGGUGGAAUGCGCAGAUAUCAGGAGGAACACCGGUGGCGAAGGCGGGUCUCUGGGCCGAUACUGGCGCUGAGGAGCGAAAGCGUGGGGAGCGAACAGG
Molecule: ribosomal RNA, 253 nt
Filed under: uncultured bacterium
Lineage: Bacteria
Description: partial 16S ribosomal RNA
Rfam family: Bacterial small subunit ribosomal RNA
Source: RNAcentral